Doryrhamphus excisus (bluestripe pipefish) is the source of this 5041-nucleotide non-coding RNA. The record is from RefSeq and is a predicted model, not a curated record. Lineage: Eukaryota; Metazoa; Chordata; Actinopteri; Syngnathiformes; Syngnathidae.
CAGUUUGGAUGAGGAAACAUGUCGACUCACACCCUUUAGCUAACACUACUUAGGUGUUAGCCUAGCUUGUGUUAUGAUGUUUGAGGUGUUAGCCUAUAGCUUAUGUUAUGGUGCUUGAGGUGUUAGCCGAUAGCUUAUGUUAUAAGGUUUGAGGUGUUAGUCCAUAGCUUAUGUAGCUUAUGUUAUGAGGUUUGAUGUGUUAGCCUAUAGCUUAUGUUAUAAGGUUUGAGGUGUUAGCCUAUAGCUUACGUUAUAAGGUUUGAGGUGUUAGCCUAUAGCUUAAGUUAUGAGGUUUGAGAUGUUAGCCUAGGUUACCUUAUAAGAUUUGAGAUGUUAGCCUAGUGAAGGUAUUUGCUCAUAUUUUGGCUAGCUAACAAUAAAGUUCAAAUCAAGCACAUAGAGUAUGAAGAUGUUUUUUAGUACACAAGGAGAUCGCCUCGAAGUAAGGGAGGUUGAGAUUUCCUUCACUAGCUUAUGUACAAGGUUCGUGGUUUUAGCCUAGCUUAUGUUACAAGGUUUGCUGUGUUAGCCUACCUUAUGUUACAAGGUUUGCGGCAUUAGCCUAGCUUAUCUUAUGAGGUUUGAGGACAUUACUGUCACCGCUUCCACUCUUCUGAAAAGACUUGCCUCUAGAUUUCCAGACGCAAGAAGAAACCCAAACGGGAGAGCUUUAUCAUGCAGUCAUAUUUUAUUACAAAAAAGCAGUGUAUACAAAUUGCAAUGCAUAAUGGGAAUAAACAUAAAACAGUUUUUGGAGCUUCACGGAUGUCACGUCGGUCUUUGGGUUGUGUGGACACAACGAGAACACACAAAGUGGCCACUUCAACCUUGUGUUCUCCCUGACAGAUCACCAUCAGUUGCUGAAACAAAAAUCCUCCACAUUGUUGACUUUCAGCUGCUGUACUUCCUGGCUGUCCAGCAGUCUGUAGCUGAAGGACACCCUGUUGACGAACCUGCCGCUAGACACCAUCCGCACCACCGUGUUGUCGCAGCCGACCUUCAUGUGAGCUACACACACACAUUUAAUUGUUUUUUUUUUUUCCUUCAAUGGAAAGGAUAACAGCAGCGAUGCGGUACUUACUGGGACCAGCAGAGGCCACACAGAGGUCCGUGAUGGGCAGCAGCUUGGACGUGUCCAGACCGCUUCCUCCCAGGAGUUGCACAAAAUCCCCCGUUUCGGACGCACAUCCCGCCAUGGAUCUCUGUGGAAGAUGGCGUUUGAGACGUUGGCCUGCCACAGAGUCUACAAACCUGGAAGACGUUUCAUUGGCCUGCCACCAAGUCUACGCUUGAGAAGGAGUCGAAGGAGACUAUAAGCACUCACGGAAGGGGUUGGCCAACUUCCUGAUGGUCAGAGUGAAGCCGCUGCCGGCGUUGUGGACGCGGAAGAAGAUCAUGGCCACGUUCUGUGAGGAGUGCACGCUUCUCCUGAGGGAGGCCGAGUCACAGUAGUCCACGUAGCGCUCGUGUGGGGCCAGCGGGUGGUCCUGGGAGCUGGGGAACUUCUCCCCUUUCAUCAACCAGCCGUCAAACACCUUGGCGCAGGAGAACCAGAAGACAUCGAGAUGAUUUCAAGGCCCUUGGUUGUCUUGGCGAUGGCCUCACCGUGAUGAAGUCUCCACCCUGGCAGUCGAUGUCCACGCUGUUGUACUCCACGCUGAUGAUCUCGUCGGGCUCGGCAAUGAAGAAAGCGGCACAGCUGAGCUGAGGAUGCUCGGCUGUGAAGGUGAAGCGACCUUCAACGGCCACCAUGUCCACACAGCCUGCACUCAGUACAGGAAAAGGUACUCCUUAAGCCUUUUUUUACACAGCACCAACACAGCAUAGGUGGAGGACAAAGUCUACCAAGCCGCAAUUUUACGCCUUCAGAGGUAGCAUCAGACCCGUGACUGUGCGGCGUGUGGAAGUGGAUUAAGCCAUGGUGUGAAAUGAUUCACACAAAACAUUCACUUCCUUUGUCUUUUUGUACAUCACGCCAGACGUGUUUACACAGAGAUACCUUCAAUGUACCGGAUUUUUCAUUGGUACAAAAAUCCCCACAUUGAGUUGACGGAACUACUUUUUUGAAGAACCAAUGCUCUUCGACUAUUAUAAUUUAGAUUUGUUUUUUGAAGUUGCCAGAAGAAAAAGACACUGAUUGGUUAGUCAAAGACUAAAUUGUCGUAGAUGUUUACCAAAACACGUACGCUAGGUUUGUCAAAAUAGUAGAUUUUUACCAAAGCACACAUGCUAUGUUUGCUCAACACUAAAUUGUCGGAAAUGCUGCGAAAACAUCGUAUGAUCAGUUUGUUCAAAAUUAAAUUGUAGGUUGUAGGUUUGUCAGAAACUAAAUUCUUGUACGUUAGAUUUGUCAAAGACUAAAUUGUCGUAGAUGUUUACCAAAACACGUACGCUGGGUUUGUCAAAAUCCCAAUUCUAGUAGAUUUUUACCAAAGCACACAUGCUAUGUUUGUUCAACGCUAAAUUGUCGGAAAUGCUUGGAAAACAUCGUAUGAUCCGUUUAUUCAAAAUGAAAUUGUAGGUUGUGGGUUUGUCAGCAUCUAUAUUCUUGUACAUUAGAUUUGUCAAAGACUAAAUUGUUGGAAAUGAUCACAAAACGACAUAUGGUACCUUAGGUUCCUUAAACACCAAAUUGUUGUGAAUGAUUACAAAAACACGUACAGUAUGUUUAAGCUCAUUCAUGGUUAAAUUGUCCUGGUUGCUUACGAAAACGCGAAUGUUGAUUUUGUCGAAAGCUGAAUUGUCGUAGAUGUUUACGAAAAGACGUACUUUAGUUGUCAUCACUUACAAAAACACUUUGUCAGGUUUGUUAAUGAUUUGUUAAUGAUUGUCGGAAAUGAUUAGCAAACACAUGCGUUUGCUUAGUUAGACUGAAUCAGCAUUACAGAACCACUUCCUGUAUGCGCGGGUCAUUAAAGACUAAAUUGUCGUAGGUGACAGAAACAUGUGCGGUACGUUAGGUUUGUUAAAGAUCAAAAUGUCGGAAAUGAUUAUAAAACACAUUCGUGUUAAUUUGUUUGAAGCUACGUCAUCGAUGAUUACUCGAAUUCGUACGUUGAGUCCAUCAAAAACGAGGUCGUCAUCAAUUACAAAAACACGUAUGUUAGGGUUGUUAAUGACAAAACUGUCGGAAAUUAUUAUAAAACACGGACAGUAUGUUUGCGUUGUUUAAGGCUACGUCAUUGAUGAUUACUCAAACACGAACGUCAGGUUGGUUAAAGACCAAAUUGUCAUAGGUGAUUACCAAAACACAAUAAAGACAAAAUAGUUGUUAAUAUGUUUUUUUUUUAAAAAGGUCCGGUUUGGAUCAAUCCAUUAGUUUACUUGAAGUUUGCAGUUUAUGGUGUGAAGAGCUAAAAAGACAUGACGUGUUAAGAGGAUGCACUUUAGCUUCAAGAAAACAUCCAAACCUGCACAAUAGAGUGUUUAUUAACAGUAGUAAAGUGCGUGGCGGGCGACUUACGUAGCGGUCGGCGGUACAUGAUGACCUCCUGAGGUGUUUCCCUGCGCAGCUCCGAGUUAAAAAAGGAGUACAAUUCAUCUUUCAGGAUGUCGUUGUCCUGCACAGAGGACAACAAAAGGCGCGAGUGACAAGGAUGAUGAUGAUGUGGCCAGAGGACCUACCUCCAUGUGUCUGCAGUCUCCCUUGAGGACGCACACACUCAAGAGCAGGAAGAGGAUCUGCUGGCGGAAAGUGCGCUCCAUGUCUGCACGUCAAAGGCGCACCUGAGCGCAGAGAGUCGUGGAGCAGCUUUUAUAAGUUCUUCAAGUCGCCAACCGUGGACACCCCCAAGCACAAGCCCCCAUUACCUAGUCAUUGCGUCGUUGUGACGAUAAAGAUGGACAGUGAGGAGGAGGGGCGGAUGAUCCGUAAAGAAGAUCACAUGCAGAGCAGGGAUGGAGGAGGAGAGUAAAGCGUACGUGGACUUAUCCCCUGUGGAAAAACCCACAGCUAUAGGAGGGAAAAAAAAGACUGGCGUGGCAUUGUAGCUUUACCAAAACCCCAACACGUGUUUUUAUAGAAGGGCACAGACUAGUCAAAGGAAAAAUUACUUCAAAACCUAAUACUUUAAAGGAAAAGUACACUUAAAAAAAACAAAUUGCCCAUCAUCCACAAUCCUUGACCUUUAGAUGCAUAAGUGUGUCAAAAAUGACCCGGUCAGGUUGUUUUCUUGAAAUAUCUUCGUAAUGAAAAUUUUUUAUCAUUUCAUAUUCCAGGUAAUCCUCAAAAAACAUGUUUUUGAUAUCAUGCCAUUCACAUUUUUAACUUACCUUUUAUACAUUUUAAGAAAUUUUAGUUUUUGUGUUACUACCCCAACCUUCCAUAAGUGGGUCAAAAAUGACCCGAUCAGGUGUUUUCUUGAAAUAUCAAAUUGUAAUUGAAAUUGUAUGCAAAAAAACACAUUUUUUUUCAGGGUGCAUAGAUGGGAUGGGGACCCCAUGAGUUUCUUGCUUUGGGCCCCCAAGGACCCUUGCCCCACCACUGGUUAUGCCCAAGAACUACGUUACCUGAGUAGGCGGAAGGACAGGAAGGAAGACAGACUGCAGAACAGCACCCUCUGCUGGAUCUUGUGGGGAACUGCAUUCAUCACCAACUGAUGGAAGGCUGCACUAAACUGAUUGCAAGGCUUCGCCAUGCGAUGCUGGAUCCAUAAAACAGCACGGUGAAGCUGCUCAGGUGGGGUUUCGUGAAUGACCGACUCACUUUUCAUGUUGCAUUCAAGGACCUCACUCUGAGGGUCAGAGUAUUGAAAUGCUACAAGCGGGCCUCCGUGUAAUGCACACUUCUGGUGCCGAGUGGCACAGAACAACAUGUUAGUGUGUUCUGAGAUAAGCUCUAUAUAUGUGUGUGUGUGUGUGUGUGUGUAUGUGUGUGUGUGUGUGCGCCCGGCAAGCUUGAAACCUUCAUCAAACAUUAUCAUACCCCUGCAGGGCCAAUAGAAAAUUAAACUGCCACAUUUAGCAAUGAUAUCACUUCCAUUACCUGACUGUAUUAUCUUAUUCAUCAUUUUAAUAAAAAAAAAAAAACACUAAUUUGUCA